GGAAUGAGCUAAAGAACUGCAGAACAUUCGGGGUGGUAUCUUCCACGUUACAACUGCAUGUGUUCACCUUGGAGAACGUCGUAAUAUUGGUGGAUUUCAGUAAGAUAUGCUAUAGCAAGCAGAUGGUAGUCAAUGUCAGAAAUUUAUAGGAACAAACAAAUUAGAAUAGAUCUCUUCACUUUGUUUAUUCGUAUACGUAAUAGUAUGGUUUCCGGUGCAAUUUAGGAAAAAACAUACACGAGUGAAUUUUUCAAAGACGAUCAAAUUUGCACGAGUCCGAAGGUCGAAUGCAAUUUGAAAUAUUUGAAAAAUUCACAAGUGUAUGUUUCCCGAAUUGCACGAGAAACCAUACUAUUACUUACUAAUAAUAUAUAUGAAAAAAUUGUACAGAAGCAAAUUCAUGAUCCCUUGCAUGCAUGAAACACAGUGAGUAGUUUACUCACUCAUUUGAAUUGUACAACAACUUAAUACACAUUUUCAACUGUCAAAAGUCAAAACUUUAUUCAAAAUGUCUUUUGUUUAGGCUUGUGACGUAUUUCGUUUCUUGGACUGGAUUUCGAUAAAAUUGCACUGUUCAUUUUUUCAUGUGUAUUAUUAAGCAACAAAUAUUGAAAAUAAUUAACGUUAUAUUUCUUCUGAGAACAACUGGUUGACCGCCGCCUGCUUGACGCUACUGCGUAGUGAACCCCACCUGUAGUUAACAUUUUUAAGUUAAAAUUUCGCUAAGCAAAGUUGUGCACCAUGUUUUACUAAUUAUCAUGCUUCAAAGCAAAACAAUGCUCAUUGAUCAGUUCUGGAAAUACAGAGGAAGGCUCUAUUUACCCCACCAUUACUACUACGUGUUGUUACAGCAUUAUCGU
Molecule: non-coding RNA, 860 nt
Organism: Paramuricea clavata
Lineage: Eukaryota; Metazoa; Cnidaria; Anthozoa; Malacalcyonacea; Plexauridae
Source: the annotation of a GenBank genome assembly